Molecule: long non-coding RNA, 208 nt
Filed under: Linum usitatissimum (flax)
Lineage: Eukaryota; Viridiplantae; Streptophyta; Magnoliopsida; Malpighiales; Linaceae
Description: long non-coding RNA (LUSI_LNC000285)
Source: RNAcentral
GCGCUCCUGAGUUCUUUGGUGGCGUUCCAACCUGGCCCUUCUUCUUUCUUCAGUCUCCCCUGCAAUGUCUUGGAAAUCUCCAGAUUGUCCAGUUCCGGCAGCUUUUUGAAAAUAGAAGUUGGACAGAGUACUUCAGCCAGUUUCCAGAAAAGAUAACAGCUGAUGUAGCAUGGAUAGACAUUCAAAGUUGAUCACAUAGCUCUACCUC